This 469-nucleotide ribosomal RNA is filed under the name Chryseobacterium sp. 01WB04.4-44. Its description in RNAcentral is "bacterial SSU rRNA". It matches the Rfam family "Bacterial small subunit ribosomal RNA", at positions 1 to 478 of the family's 1533-position model. Lineage: Bacteria; Pseudomonadati; Bacteroidota; Flavobacteriia; Flavobacteriales; Weeksellaceae. The record is from RNAcentral.
UGAGCUUGAUCCUGGCUCAGGAUGAACGCUAGCGGGAGGCCUAACACAUGCAAGCCGAGCGGUAUAGAUUCUUCGGAAUCUAGAGAGCGGCGUACGGGUGCGGAACACGUGUGCAACCUACCUUUAUCAGGGGGAUAGCCUUUCGAAAGGAAGAUUAAUACCCCAUAAUAUAUUGACUGGCAUCAGUCGAUAUUGAAAACUCCGGUGGAUAGAGAUGGGCACGCGCAAGAUUAGAUAGUUGGUAGGGUAACGGCCUACCAAGUCAGUGAUCUUUAGGGGGCCUGAGAGGGUGAUCCCCCACACUGGUACUGAGACACGGACCAGACUCCUACGGGAGGCAGCAGUGAGGAAUAUUGGACAAUGGGUGAGAGCCUGAUCCAGCCAUCCCGCGUGAAGGACGACGGCCCUAUGGGUUGUAAACUUCUUUUGUAUAGGGAUAAACCUACUCUCGUGAGAGUAGCUGAAGUAC